This 253-nucleotide ribosomal RNA is filed under the name uncultured bacterium. RNAcentral describes it as "partial 16S ribosomal RNA". It matches the Rfam family "Bacterial small subunit ribosomal RNA", at positions 524 to 776 of the family's 1533-position model. The record is from RNAcentral.
UACAGAGGUCCCGAGCGUUGUUCGGAUUCAUUGGGCGUAAAGGGUGUGUGGGAGGCUAGGUAAGUCGGGUGUGAAAGUUCACCGCUUAACGGUGAAAGUGCAUUCGAAACUACUUGGCUCGAGGAUUGGAGGGGGAGGCGGAAUUCAUGGUGUAGCAGUGAAAUGCGUAGAUAUCAUGAGGAACACCGGUGGCGUAGGCGGCCUCCUAGAAAAUUCCUGACUCUGAAACACGAAAGCCAGGGGAGCAAACGGG